Long non-coding RNA from Hyla sarda, 837 nucleotides. RefSeq lists it as uncharacterized. NCBI's taxonomy places the organism in Eukaryota, Metazoa, Chordata, Amphibia, Anura, Hylidae. The transcript is spliced from 3 exons. The record is from RefSeq and is a predicted model, not a curated record.
CCCUAUGUACGUAUGCUGUGUCAGAAACAGCUGAUCAUAUGAGCAGAGCGGGAGACUCAUUGCAGCACCAGAAUAAGCCGCGAGGCAAUCAAACGCAGCAACGCCAUGACAGCACCUGGACCAGUGAGGGAUCGUGAUUUUGUUCAUGGGAAUAGAAAAUGAACAGCCCGGAACGACUAACCCUCCCCACCGAAUGGUCCCUGCAGCAUAGAUGGCCGAAGAUGGACGGCCCGGACCAGCUCACCCUUCCUUCCCACCGAGAAAGCAAUAACUGGGGAGGCGAGUAGAAAACAAAAGGGGGGUCUGGAUGAUGACGAAGGGAUUGACAGGCGGUGAUGAUGAAGGGGGGGAUGAUGACGAGGGGGGUGUUAAUGACUGUGGUCUGGAUGAUGCCAUGUAUUUCCCCCCGAUGAUGUAUUUCCCACCCUAGGCUUAUAGUAGAGUCAAUUAGGGGCCUCGGCUUAAAUUCGGAAUGGCUAACACUAGAGUAUAUACUGUGUGAUUUUUUUUUUUUUUCUAAAAGUAUGACAAAAUCAAACCUUUAUUAGUGGGGUAUCAUUUUAAUCUUAUGGACCUACAAAAUAAAGAGUAUAAUUUUUGCCGAAAAAAGCACUGCGUAGAAACGGAAGCCCCCAAAACUUACAAAAUUGUGUUUUUUCUUCAAUUUUGUCGCACAAUGAUUUUUUUUUCCUGUUUUGCUGUAGAUUUUUGGGUAAAAUGACUGAUGUGAUAACAAAGUAGUAUUGGUGGCGCCAAAAAUUACCCAUCAUAUGGACUUUUAGGUGAAAAAUUGAAAGGGUUAGGAUUUUUAAAAGGUAAGGAGGAAAAAACGAAAGU